RNAcentral lists this ribosomal RNA (373 nucleotides) under uncultured organism. RNAcentral describes it as "partial 16S ribosomal RNA". It matches the Rfam family "Bacterial small subunit ribosomal RNA", at positions 527 to 896 of the family's 1533-position model. The record is from RNAcentral.
GGAGGGUGCAAGCGUUAUUCGGAAUCACUGGGCGUAAAGAGCGCGUAGGCGGUUUCUAAAGUCAGAUGUGAAAGCCCGGGGCUCAACCCCGGAAGUGCAUUUGAAACUUAGGGACUUGAGUAUGGGAGAGGGAAGUGGAAUUCCUGGUGUAGCGGUGAAAUGCGUAGAUAUCAGGAGGAACACCGGUGGCGAAGGCGACUUCCUGGACCAAUACUGACGCUGAGGCGCGAAGGCGUGGGGAGCAAACAGGGAUUAGAUACCCUGGUAGUUCACGCAGUAAACGUUGAACACUAGGUGUAGCGGGUAUUGACCCCCUGCUGUGCCGCAGCUAACGCAUUAAGUGUUCCGCCUGGGGAGUACGGCCGCAAGGCCA